CAAGAGUGGGGAUGGUGACCUGGUUGGACUAGAGUCUCUGAGUUUCUCUGAGGAUCUUUGAAACCAUCUGAGCCACUCCUA
Molecule: small nucleolar RNA, 81 nt
Filed under: Fukomys damarensis (Damara mole-rat)
Lineage: Eukaryota; Metazoa; Chordata; Mammalia; Rodentia; Bathyergidae
Description: Small nucleolar RNA ZL8
Rfam family: Small nucleolar RNA ZL8
About the family: Host gene C6orf48. No homologs outside of mammals.
Source: Rfam by way of RNAcentral